GUGAGGAAUAUUGGACAAUGGGCGCAAGCCUGAUCCAGCCAUGCCGCGUGCAGGAAGACGCAUCUAUGGUGUGUAAACUGCUUUUGUACGGGAAGAAACACUCCCUCGUGAGGGAGCUUGACGGUACCGUAAGAAUAAGGAUCGGCUAACUCCGUGCCAGCAGCCGCGGUAAUACGGAGGAUCCAAGCGUUAUCCGGAAUCAUUGGGUUUAAAGGGUCCGUAGGCGGGUUAAUAAGUCAGUGGUGAAAGCCCAUCGCUCAACGAUGGAACGGCCAUUGAUACUGUUAGACUUGAAUUACAAGGAAGUAACUAGAAUAUGUAGUGUAGCGGUGAAAUGCUUAGAUAUUACAUGGAAUACCAAUUGCGAAGGCAGGUUACUACUUGUGGAUUGACGCUGAUGGACGAAAGCGUGGGGAGCGAACAGGAUUAGAAACCCUUGUAGUCC
RNAcentral lists this ribosomal RNA (445 nucleotides) under uncultured bacterium. RNAcentral's name for it is "partial 16S ribosomal RNA". It matches the Rfam family "Bacterial small subunit ribosomal RNA", at positions 354 to 796 of the family's 1533-position model. The record is from RNAcentral.